ACCCGCACAAGCGGUGGAUGAUGUGGUUUAAUUCGAUGCAACGCGAAAACCUUACCCACCUUUGACAUGUACGGAAGUUGCCAGAGAUGGCUUCGUGCUCGAAAGAGAGCCGUAACACAGGUGCUGCAUGGCUGUCGUCAGCUCGUGUCGUGAGAUGUUGGGUUAAGUCCCGCAACGAGCGCAACCCUUAUCAUUAGUUGCUACGCAAGGGCACUCUAAUGAGACUGCCGGUGACAAACCGGAGGAAGGUGGGGAUGACGUCAAGUCCUCAUGGCCCUUAUGGGUAGGGCUUCACACGUCAUACAAUGGUCGGUACAGAGGGUUGCCAAGCCGCGAGGCGGAGCCAAUCCCACAAAGCCGAUCGUAGUCCGGAUUGUUCUCUGCAACUCGAGAGCAUGAAGUCGGAAUCGCUAGUAAUCGCAGGUCAGCAUACUGCGGUGAAUACGUUCCCGGGUCUU
RNAcentral lists this ribosomal RNA (458 nucleotides) under uncultured Thiobacillus sp. RNAcentral describes it as "bacterial SSU rRNA". It matches the Rfam family "Bacterial small subunit ribosomal RNA", at positions 919 to 1382 of the family's 1533-position model. Lineage: Bacteria; Pseudomonadati; Pseudomonadota; Betaproteobacteria; Nitrosomonadales; Thiobacillaceae. The record is from RNAcentral.